GUGGGUGACAUACCCUCAGAUGGGGAUAGCUAUUAGAAAUAGUAGAUAAUACCGAAUACGAGCACAGGGGUUAGAGAUCUGUGAGGAAAGGAGCUAAGGCUCCGCUGAAGGAAUGGCCUGCGGCCCAUUAGCUAGUUGGUGAGGUAAGAGCCCACCAAGGCGAUGAUGGGUAUCCGGCCUUAGAGGGUGAACGGACACAUUGGGACUGAGAUACGGCCCAGACUCCUACGGGAGGCAGCAGCUAAGAAUAUUCCGCAAUGGACGAAAGUCUGACGGAGCGACGCCGCGUGGAAUGAAGAAGGCCGGAAGGUUGUAAAAUCCUUUUGAAACUGAAGAAUAAGCGUUGUAGGGAAUGACAGCGUGGUGACAGUAGGUUUUGAAUAAGCAACGGCUAAUUACGUGCCAGCCGCAGC
This 413-nucleotide ribosomal RNA is filed under the name uncultured bacterium. RNAcentral's name for it is "bacterial SSU rRNA". It matches the Rfam family "Bacterial small subunit ribosomal RNA", at positions 117 to 518 of the family's 1533-position model. The record is from RNAcentral.